Molecule: long non-coding RNA, 346 nt
Organism: Acanthopagrus latus (yellowfin seabream)
Lineage: Eukaryota; Metazoa; Chordata; Actinopteri; Spariformes; Sparidae
Exons: 3
Source: RefSeq, a predicted model, not a curated record
GUCAAAACGAAAGCGUUCAUCUGGUCCAGGAAGAAGAAGAAGCUAGACGAAGAGGAACACAGGAUGAAGGAGCAAUUCUGAAAUAUUUUGGAUCCACAGACCAGGAAGCAGCUCGACCGCCUUCAGCACCACCGGACCAGGAAGUUUAAGAGCAAUUCUGAAAUAUUUUGGAUCCACAGACCAGGAAGCAGCUCGGCCGCCUUCAGCACCACCGGACCAGGAAGUUUAAGUAAAAAUGUUUUACAGUUUAAAAUAAAUAUAUUUAGGGAACACUGCAUCAGUUCCAUGUACUGACCUAUAGAGGAUCCACACUGUUCACCUUAUAUUAUCAGUUCAACCUGCUUGG